CGUAGGGUCCAAGCGUUAUCCGGAAUUACUGGGCGUAAAGAGUUGCGUAGGUGGCAGAGUAAGUAGAUAGUGAAAGCGUGUGGCUCAACCAUACAUCCAUUAUCUAAACUGCUCAGCUUGAGGAUGAGAGAGGUAGAUGGAAUUUCUGAUGUAGGGGUAAUAUCCGUAGAUAUCAGAAGGAACACCGAUGGCGUAAGCAGUCUACUGGCUCAUUCCUGACACUAAGGCACGAAAGCGUGGGGAGCAAACAGGAUUAGAUACCCUGGUAGUCCACGCCGUAAACUAUGGAUGCUAGCUGUAAGAGGUAUCGACCCCUCUUGUAGCGAAGCUAACGCGUUAAGCAUCCCGCCUGUGGAGUACGAGCGCAAGCUUA
This 373-nucleotide ribosomal RNA is filed under the name uncultured organism. RNAcentral's name for it is "bacterial SSU rRNA". It matches the Rfam family "Bacterial small subunit ribosomal RNA", at positions 526 to 896 of the family's 1533-position model. The record is from RNAcentral.